UACGGAGGGUGCGAGCGUUGUCCGGAAUCACUGGGCGUAAAGGGCGCGUAGGUGGCUUGGUAAGCGUGUGGUGAAAGCCCGGGGCUCAACCCCGGGUCUGCCGUGCGAACUGCUAUGGCUAGAGUACUGUAGAGGCAGGUUGAAUUCCGGGUGUAGCGGUGGAAUGCGUAGAGAUCCGGAAGAAUACCGGUGGCGAAGGCGGCCUGCUGGGCAGUUACUGACACUGAGGCGCGACAGCGUGGGGAGCAAACAGG
Molecule: ribosomal RNA, 254 nt
Filed under: uncultured bacterium
Lineage: Bacteria
Description: partial 16S ribosomal RNA
Rfam family: Bacterial small subunit ribosomal RNA
Source: RNAcentral